UUUGCAGGCUUGCAAGAUCCAGGAUCCC
This 28-nucleotide non-coding RNA is filed under the name Homo sapiens (human). Lineage: Eukaryota; Metazoa; Chordata; Mammalia; Primates; Hominidae. The record is from RNAcentral.